GACAGCGCCACUACUGUCCCACAGAACAGCUAGGAGGGAGGGUGAAAUCAUAUAACACUUUUCCAAAUGGGUGAACUAUCCCUUUAAUGUCAUGUGGAAUAUUUCAUAACAGCAGGCAGGCAACCAAAACUGUCACGAAUCAGCCGAACGGAGCUGAGAGCGCUGAGUGAAACAGACUCGACUGAUCAGGAUGAGGUUGGAGGAACAAUGAGGGAGUCCUUACUCCCAGGAAGGAGGUGCUCCGUCCCCCUGCUUAGUCAACCCAAAACAAUAUAACCACUAUAUAUAGUUUACUCACCAGUGGCUUGCCUUGUUUGAAAGGGCAUACAAUGUAGUACCUCGCUUUGUAAAAAACAAACAAACAACAAAACGUCAUUAUGUACUUAGAGCACUUGGAAUGACUAAUGCAUCUACCAGUGUGAUAGCCUUCCUGUUAUGUUGAACUGCAGCGCUGUCGGCCAGUAAAUUCCCAUGACAAAAAAAAAAAAAAAAAAAAGGUGUAUUAAUAUAUAUUCUAGUAUUCUUGCUCUUUGAUUUAGACAGCAUGUUUCACCCAGCGUGUUAACUAGUUACCUUCCAUUAAUGCCAGGUAUGUUUCUAAACAGCGGGACACUUCAAAAGUGCACUUAUUCAUCAUUUUAGGUAAUAAAAAAAAAAAAAAAAAACAAGCAUUGUACAAAUGCCAUGAGUAAAUACAAGUUUAAAUACAAAGCAUUGUGGAAAACAGCACAUUUCCAGUUAACCAGUGAAAACUGUGAGGACUGAAUCCCGACCUGCGAGUGUGGACCACGUACCUGCUGUAGACUGAUAAGAAGCACUUCAAAAGCGUUGACAUUUCUUCAGUGUAAUUUAAAGUUGAAAAUGAUGUAUUACUGUGUACAGAUAGGAUCUUAUUUCAAUCCCUUGUCAUAACUUAUCACAAACGUUUCAGCAUAGAUAAUGUGUAGAUGAGCACUGUUUUUGUUUUUGGUUGUUUUUUUCCUUUUGUUUCUUCGCAGUAUAUUUUGGGAUAUAUCUGGCAUCGUUGUUUUGCAAAGAUUCCAUAACUUAUUGGUCACCACUUGCCUUAACGGAGUAGUUUAUAUCAGAAAUACAAGCUUAUAAAUGUACUUUUCCUUUGAGAAUACGACAUUUUAUUUAAUCCUUGUAUGCAUCUACAUUUCACUGAGAGAAGGCUGAAUUCAUUGUAAUAUAUUAUGUUGUGGCCACUGCAGCCUUUCACUUGUGAAGUUGGAGGCUGCACGUCGGCAUUACUGAGGAGGUAUUUUUUCUAUUUUGUAAUUUCAUCUUGAAAUGAGCAUGUCUGCCACAAGAAAACCUUUUAAAAUGAGAGAGGUACACGACUGGACACCUCAUAAUUUUGACCCCUUGUUUUCCCAAAGUCUUAUUUAACCAGCAAUAUCAUUUCAUGUAUGAAAAAAAUCAAUAUUGGUGUACUGGCUCGGUCAUUUUUGCGAUGAUAUGAUACUUCCAAAGUCAUUAUGAACUCUGAAGCAGCUGACAGCUCGCGGGCCAGUGUGGAUUUUUCUGUGGAAACCUUUGGGAUGUCUGCAUGUUACUACUGUCCUCUGUGUCCUGUGGGUGUGCAGUAUUCAACACAACUGAACCGUGAAGAGGUACUCGCUGUGUCCAAACACAUGAUCAAACUGCAGAUUUGAACCAAUCAGCCAGACUUGUGCUUAUUUUCAACCCAAAUCAUAAUAAAAAAAACUCUACAGUAAAAAA
Molecule: long non-coding RNA, 1725 nt
Organism: Myripristis murdjan (pinecone soldierfish)
Lineage: Eukaryota; Metazoa; Chordata; Actinopteri; Holocentriformes; Holocentridae
Exons: 2
Source: RefSeq, a predicted model, not a curated record